This 733-nucleotide unclassified non-coding RNA is filed under the name Hevea brasiliensis (rubber tree). Lineage: Eukaryota; Viridiplantae; Streptophyta; Magnoliopsida; Malpighiales; Euphorbiaceae. The record is from RNAcentral.
UUUUAAGUCAAAAGUUAAAAGUAAGUAAUCAAACUAAACACUCUCUUAGAUUUUUAGCUAGAAAGAAGGAAAGGAAUUAUGAUUCUAAACUGCUUCAAUGUCUCAAUAAAUUUUUUAUGAUUGGAUUCCUACUUUGAAGUCCUGUGAAUUUUCUUCCUCAUCAAAAAGAUUAGAAACUGCUUCAAUGUCUUGAUAAAAAUUUGUCAUGAUAUUGGAUUGCUACGCUGAAGUCCUGUGAAUAUUCUUCCUCAUCCAAAAGAUUGUGAGUUUCAGGAAAUGCCUAAGUUCAUCUCUUCUAGACACUUUCUGAGACUAGCAUUGGGACAUAUGAAAAGAUGGUAUGGGAAUAGUAAUUAUCCUUACUGAUACACAAAAUCAUUACUAUUUUUUUUUCCCCUCCAAGUUAAUACAAUAAGAGCAGACCAGAUGAGAACCGCUGUUUGUUUUGCUAUGACCCCACUCUUCUUCUUUUCAAGAAAACUGUGAUGAUAGACUUGACCAUUUCUGUUCAUUUUUUAACCUUUUUAUUUCUUUCUUUUCAGGUUUGUGCUGUAUCUGUCGGCUUUGUCUGAUGAUGCUCAUCAGGGGAAGAAGUCACUAAAUGCAGCUAUGAAUGCCCUUUUCACUUGUCCUGAUUCUGUGAAUCUUGAAAGUAGUUGUGCAGAUCAAAAUGAAAAUGCAGAACUAAAACCCACUCUACUUUGGAGCGCAUUGUAUAUUCAGGAGCUUGCAA